AGAGUUUGAUCAUGGCUCAGAGUGAACGCUGGCGGCGUGCUUAACACAUGCAAGUCGAACGAUGAAGCAACUGCUUGCAGUUGUGGAUUAGUGGCGCACGGGUGAGUAAUGGAUAGGUAACCUGCCUCAUAGUCUGGGACAACAGUUGGAAACGACUGCUAAUACUGGAUAUUCCCUACGGGGGAAAGAUUUAUCGCUAUGAGAUGGGCCUAUCUCCUAUCAGCUAGUUGGUAAGGUAACGGCUUACCAAGGCAAUGACGGGUAGCUGGUCUUAGAGGACGAUCAGCCACACUGGAACUGAGACACGGUCCAGACUCCUACGGGAGGCAGCAGUGGGGAAUAUUGCACAAUGGGGGAAACCCUGAUGCAGCAACGCCGCGUGGAGGAUGACGCAUUUCGGUGUGUAAACUCCUUUUAUUUAGGAAGAAAUUGACGGUACUAAAGAA
RNAcentral lists this ribosomal RNA (446 nucleotides) under uncultured bacterium. RNAcentral's name for it is "bacterial SSU rRNA". It matches the Rfam family "Bacterial small subunit ribosomal RNA", at positions 8 to 485 of the family's 1533-position model. The record is from RNAcentral.